UACGUAGGGUGCAAGCGUUAAUCGGAAUUACUGGGCGUAAAGCGUGCGCAGGCGGUUUUGUAAGUCUGAUGUGAAAUCCCCGGGCUCAACCUGGGAAUUGCAUUGGAGACUGCAAGGCUAGAAUCUGGCAGAGGGGGGGUAGAAUUCCACGUGUAGCAGUGAAAUGCGUAGAUAUGCGGAGGAACACCGAUGGCGAAGGCAACCCCCUGGGCCUGUACUGACGCUCAUGCACGAAAGCGUGGGGAGCAAACAGG
RNAcentral lists this ribosomal RNA (254 nucleotides) under uncultured Burkholderiales bacterium. RNAcentral describes it as "partial 16S ribosomal RNA". It matches the Rfam family "Bacterial small subunit ribosomal RNA", at positions 524 to 776 of the family's 1533-position model. The record is from RNAcentral. Lineage: Bacteria; Pseudomonadati; Pseudomonadota; Betaproteobacteria; Burkholderiales.